UACGUAGGGUGCAAGCGUUGUCCGGAAUUAUUGGGCGUAAAGAGCUUGUAGGUGGUUUGUCGCGUCUGCUGUGAAAAUCCGAGGCUCAACCUCGGACUUGCAGUGGGUACGGGCAGACUAGAGUGUGGUAGGGGGAGACUGGAAUUCCUGGUGUAGCGGUGGAAUGCGCAGAUAUCAGGAGGAACACCGAUGGCGAAGGCAGGUCUCUGGGCCAUUACUGACACUGAGAAGCGAAAGCAUGGGGAGCGAACAGG
This 254-nucleotide ribosomal RNA is filed under the name uncultured bacterium. Its description in RNAcentral is "partial 16S ribosomal RNA". It matches the Rfam family "Bacterial small subunit ribosomal RNA", at positions 524 to 776 of the family's 1533-position model. The record is from RNAcentral.